UGAGUAACACGUGGGCAAUCUGCCCUGCACUUCGGGAUAAGCCUGGGAAACUGGGUCUAAUACCGGAUAGGACCUUUAGACGCAUGUCUUUUGGUGGAAAGCUUUUGCGGUGUGGGAUGGGCCCGCGGCCUAUCAGCUUGUUGGUGGGGUGAUGGCCUACCAAGGCGACGACGGGUAGCCGGCCUGAGAGGGUGUCCGGCCACACUGGGACUGAGAUACGGCCCAGACUCCUACGGGAGGCAGCAGUGGGGAAUAUUGCACAAUGGGCGCAAGCCUGAUGCAGCGACGCCGCGUGGGGGAUGACGGCCUUCGGGUUGUAAACCUCUUUCACCAUCGACGAAGGUCCGGGUUUUCUCGGAUUGACGGUAGGUGGAGAAGAAGCACCGGCCAACUACGUGCCAGCAGCCGCGGUAAUACGUAGGGUGCGAGCGUUGUCCGGAAUUACUGGGCGUAAAGAGCUCGUAGGUGGUUUGUCGCGUUGUUCGUGAAAUCUCACGGCUUAACUGUGAGCGUGCGGGCGAUACGGGCAGACUAGAGUACUGCAGGGGAGACUGGAAUUCCUGGUGUAGCGGUGGAAUGCGCAGAUAUCAGGAGGAACACCGGUGGCGAAGGCGGGUCUCUGGGCAGUAACUGACGCUGAGGAGCGAAAGCGUGGGGAGCGAACAGGAUUAGAUACCCUGGUAGUCCACGCCGUAAACGGUGGGUACUAGGGUGUGGGGUUUCCUUCCUUGGGAUCCGUGCCGUAGCUAACGCAUUAAGUACCCCGCCUGGGGGAGUACGGGCCGCAAGGCUAAAACUCAAAGGAAUUGACGGGGGGCCCGCACAA
This 826-nucleotide ribosomal RNA is filed under the name Mycobacterium sp. RNAcentral describes it as "bacterial SSU rRNA". It matches the Rfam family "Bacterial small subunit ribosomal RNA", at positions 107 to 928 of the family's 1533-position model. Lineage: Bacteria; Bacillati; Actinomycetota; Actinomycetes; Mycobacteriales; Mycobacteriaceae. The record is from RNAcentral.